AGCAGCCGCGGUAAUUCCAGCUCCAAUAGCGUAUAUUAAAGUUGCUGCAGUUAAAAAGCUCGUAGUUGAAUUUCGGGACUAAUAUGUCGGUCGUGCCUCGGUACGUACUGGCUUAUUGGUUUCUCCUUUCUGAAGAACCAUGAUGUCAUUUAUUUGGUGUCGUGGGGAAUCAGGACUGUUACUUUGAAAAAAUUAGAGUGUUUAAAGCAGGCUCACGCUUGAAUACAUUAGCAUGGAAUAAUGAAAUAGGACGUUUGAUUCUAUUUUGUUGGUUUCUAGGAUCGACGUAAUGAUUAAUAGGGAUAGUUGGGGGCAUUAGUAUUCAAUUGUCAGAGGUGAAAUUCUUGGAUUUAUUGAAGACUAACUACUGCGAAAGCAUUUGCCAAGGAUGUUUUCAUUAAUCAAGAACGAAAGUUAGGGGAUCGAAGACGAUCAGAUACCGUCGUAGUCUUAACCAUAAACUAUGCCGACUAGGGAUCGGAUGAUGUUAAUUUAAUGACUCA
RNAcentral lists this ribosomal RNA (503 nucleotides) under uncultured Glomus. RNAcentral's name for it is "SSU rRNA". It matches the Rfam family "Eukaryotic small subunit ribosomal RNA", at positions 569 to 1078 of the family's 1831-position model. Lineage: Eukaryota; Fungi; Glomeromycota; Glomeromycetes; Glomerales; Glomeraceae. The record is from RNAcentral.